GUAAAAUAUCAAUAAAAUAAAGGACAUGUAACAUAUAUUGACAGUUCUAUUUACUUCAACUUCUGACAAAUCACAGAGUUUGGAUCAAGUAUCUCCAUGAACUGGUUUGCAUCUCAGACUCAGACUUUAUGAAACAAGUUUCUCUGUUGUUCUCUCAGGCUGUGAUUUCUUGUGGUGUACCACAGGGUCAAUCAGUCACCAGUCUGAGAACACCAGACCAAAACCAGCCACAGCAUUGACGGGGAGGGAGUCAAAGUCACUGACCACAAGUCAUCCAAGCCUAACAAAGACGAGUCAAGACAUGAAGACACGAUGGCUUCUGAUCAUUGCUGGGACUGAUUCAAUAUCUAAAAUAUUCAUAUUAGGAUGUGUCCAUUGUAAUUAGAGGAGGUAUGAAAUGUCCUCCAUGUUUCCAGGAUAAAGACUAAAUGUUCAGGUGAUCAAGCUUCCUUCUACUGUGACCUGCCUCGGUCUCACAACAGUGUGAAGAACUGAACCUGGACAUUCAGCAAACAUUUCUCUGAGGCAGAGCUGCUCUGGAUGCAGACAAAGCUUUUCUCUGGCCCCGCCCACUGACCUUCAACUCAACCAAUCAGAUUGUUUGUUUGAGGAAGUAAAAGCUCAAUCAGCUUGAUGUUGAGGAGAAGGUCUGUGCAGCAGAGAGGCUGUUUAGGUUUUUCAUUCGACUGCAGUGGAACAACACUGGUCAUCUGCUGUCUGUUUGACUUGAACAACUCCAAAGACAUGUUGCUUUACCUCUUUUUACUGUUCUCUCUCUUUAUAGCCCUGGGCUCCAUGAACAGCAUAAAUCCAGAAAGUACUGAAGAACAUGUUGCAGAGGGAGGAAACAUCAACCUGACCUGUAAAUAUGACGGUUCUAUCUACAACAUCCAGUGGUACCGACAAUACCAGAGAUCCAGACCAGAGUUCCUGCUCUACAUCACAGAGGGAGGAUUGAUUCAUCCAACUGAUUCUGAUUUCUCAGCUCACAUUAACAAAUCAGAGAAACGUGUGGCUCUGAAGAUCAUCUCAGCUAAAGUGGCAGACUCUGCUGUGUACUACUGUGCUCUGCAGCCCACAGUGACAGGAAACACCAAAACUCUGUACAAAAACCUUUGGAGCAAAGACAACACAAUACUCCACAACAUCCACUAGAGGGAGUCAGCCCUCAACAUGUAUCUUUGUCAAAGCAGUUUUAAGGUUUUCCUCAUCAUGCAGUGUCAACAGAGAGAAGUGACAAUCCAGAUCUAAGAGGAGACGGAGAGAUUCAGGGAGGAGCUAAGCUGUUACUGAACUAUAGAAGAGAGAGGAACUUCCAUAUUCAGCAGAGUUCAAUAC
Larimichthys crocea (large yellow croaker) is the source of this 1338-nucleotide non-coding RNA. The record is from the annotation of a RefSeq genome assembly. NCBI's taxonomy places the organism in Eukaryota, Metazoa, Chordata, Actinopteri, Sciaenidae.